Molecule: ribosomal RNA, 492 nt
Filed under: uncultured bacterium
Lineage: Bacteria
Description: partial 16S ribosomal RNA
Rfam family: Bacterial small subunit ribosomal RNA
Source: RNAcentral
AGUGAACGCUGGCGGUAGGCCUAACACAUGCCAGUCGAACGGCAGCACAGUAAGAGCUUGCUCUUACGGGUGGCGAGUGGCGGACGGGUGAGGAAUACAUCGGAAUCUACUUUUUCGAGGGGGAUAACGUAGGGAAACUUACGCUAAUACCGCAUACGACCUACGGGGGAAAGCAUGGGAUCUUCGGACCUUGCGCGAUUGAAUGAGCCGAUGUCGGAUUAGCUAGUUGGCGGGGUAAAGGCCCACCAAGGCGACGAUCCGUAGCUGGUCUGAGAGGAUGAUCAGCCACACUGGAACUGAGACACGGUCCAGACUCCUACGGGAGGCAGCAGUGGGGAAUAUUGGACAAUGGGCGCAAGCCUGAUCCAGCCAUACCGCGUGGGUGAAGAAGGCCUUCGGGUUGUAAAGCCCUUUUGUUGGGAAAGAAAAGCAGCAGGUUAAUACCCCGCUGUUCUGACGGUACCCAAAGAAUAAGCACCGGCUAACUUCGUG